Molecule: ribosomal RNA, 253 nt
Filed under: uncultured bacterium
Lineage: Bacteria
Description: partial 16S ribosomal RNA
Rfam family: Bacterial small subunit ribosomal RNA
Source: RNAcentral
UACGAGGGGGGCAAGCGUUGUUCGGAAUUAUUGGGCGUAAAGGGUGCGUAGGCGGUCUGAUAAGUCAUCUGUGAAAUCUAUGGGCUCAACCCAUAGUCUGCAGGCGAAACUGCAGGGCUUGAGUAUGGGAGAGGUGAGUGGAAUUCCUGGUGUAGCGGUGAAAUGCGUAGAUAUCAGGAGGAACACCAAUGGCGAAGGCAGCUCGCUGGGACGGUACUGACGCUGAGACGCGAAGGCGUGGGGAGCAAACAGG